ACUUUCUUCAGUUUGGAGACAGGUUGUCUCUUUGAACCUGAAGCCCACAGAUUUGACUGGACUGCCUGUCUGUUGUGUCCGGCCAGCAGAUCACAACAUGGGUUCUAGCCUGGAAAGGCAUUUUGGAAACCUGGAAGAGAAGAGGGGCUAGGCGGCGAGAUAAAGAAAUGUAGCUAAGACAGUCAUUCUGAUCAAAGCUCAAUUUUACUGUUCCGCACGCAGUUAUAAAGCAGGGGAAGGGGCCCGAUUCCCGCCAAAUAAUCUUGGGGUCCAAUAGCAGGGUAACCACGUGCACGGCUCCGAACAGCAAAGCGGCAGGUUCCAGCAGUGGGCGUGGCAGAACGAUUGAUCAGGAAGCUCCACCCCUGAGCAAGCAGGUUUCAGGCUGGGGGAGGGGAGACUACACCUGUCUAGUAAGGUUGGGGCAUCUGCUGCCAUCUCCACAACCACCAGGACACCCGCCUGCCCCCCAGAACUGGGAUUGCAGAUGCAUGCUGCCAAGCCGGAGACCCAAACUCAGGUCUCCCUGCUUACAAAGCAAGUGCUUCCCACGAGACCCUUUCCUCGGCCUAGCAUGGUUAUUUUCUCUGUGUAGAGUGGCUUUAGAGGUGAAAGAACAUUGAAAUGAACUAUGUACAAUGAAUGAAAAAAGCUAUCUUAAGAAAUCACAAAGUAGUUGUUCAAUCCUCACCGGACUGGAAAGUGUUAACAAUAAGGACUCCGUGGCACCCCACAAAGAGAUCCAAGUUUGUCAUCCAUGGAAGGUCGGUCACACGGGAGGAUCUGCUCAGAGUGGACAGCACAGGAGUGCUGUCAGAAUUGGGUGCCGGUCGGUCGUACGUGGUGCUAAUGGUGCGGGUUUGCUGUGCGGCUGGCUUUGAGGCCCCUGACAGUGUUUUGUAGAGUGCUGGUCCGGCAUGGCACCCUUCUUUCAAGCACAGCCUGAGACUCUGAGCUGCUAAGUGACCCAUUUUCCUUAGCCUAGGCCUGUUGCACUGCCCUGAGGUCCUGGAACCUCCAGGAAUAACCUGUCUCGGUCCCACAUUUCCUCUGAUUAUGCAAUGGUAGGCAACCAGAUAGAGACCGUUUUUUUUUUCUUCGAAGCCAUCUUACUGUGACUUCUGCUUUUCUCUCCCCUUCCCUGAAUUUUGGGUUGUGUUAGUACCUGAGAACUCCUGUCCUUGUGCUGAAUUCUGGUUCCUUUUUAAUUUUUCAUUCUAACAAGGUCACGGAGAAGUAUGACUAACGAAGGCCUGCUCCCGGUGCUAGCUAGCACUAAUUUUAGUUGGUCCACUGCUCUUGCUGUCUAACUUUAAAUAUUUGAUUAGGUGCUAACAAGUGUGAAGACUGGUGGAUUUUGAGUCCAGCCUCUGUCCUCUAGGUUUGCUGGCUCAGAUCCAGCCGACUAGGCCUCCCAGCCUUGCCAUUUGAGGGGUGAACAGAUGGAAGAAUGGGCAUUGGCUUCGGAGACAGAUGGCCUGAGCGGAGAAUUAACCACCUUCUGCCUGAUGCAUGAUACAAGCACAUUCUCCCCCAAACUAUCCCUAUAAUUAACCUUAAGGUUCUUUUCCCUUUUAUGGCUUCCACUAGUAUGUGUACAGUCAUGGUAGGUGUGGACCUGUUUCUGAGGCUGUCAGAGUGCUGGAGAAUUAGGCCAGGAUCAAGAUAUCAGAGGCUUGGCUUCUCCUGGGGUCUCGUUCCACGCCUAACAAAUGGCCACCUGCCCUCUGUGUCCUGCUGUGAAUGUCUCUGGUGUUUGUCCCUCUUAUUAGGUACCAGUCAUGUUGGAUUAGGGCUUCCCUCUUAUGACUUCCAUCUACCCCUAAUUAUCUCUUUAUUAAAGGACUGAAUUCAUAUAUGGUCACAUUGGGAGUUUGGGCCUUGAUAUAAAAAACCUAGAGGGACACACUUCCACUCACAAUAAUCUAGGUUUAUAGAAAUUAAAAGGAGAGAAAGUUUUUUUCCUUCCCCAUUUAUUGACUUACUCUGGGAGUGCGUGUGCACACACACGUGCUCUCAUGUCAUGACACAUGUGGCAGUCAGAGAACAACUUAUGGGAAUUGGUCUUUCAUCCACGAUGUGGGUUGUCAGGCUUGGUGACAAAUGCCCUCACCUAGUGAACCAUCUUACUGGCCCCAGAAAGAAAUUGGGUUUCUGUUUUUGUUUUGAUUUCGAAUUUACCUACUCACUUGAUAUAUUUGGAUCCUGUCAUUCUUACUGUUGACCCAAGUGUACAUCUGGUAUGUUUCUGUUCUUCAGAUUUGAAUAUUUUGCUUUUAAUUUCUAUGCAUGCGUGUGUGUGUGUGUGUGUGUGUGUGUGUGUGUGUGUGUGUGUAGACGCCAGAGGUUGGUGUCAGAUGUUCUGGUCUUGCUUUCUAACUUGCUUACAUAACUAGGGUUCUCAGUGAGCCUGGAGCAUGGUGAUUCAGACCUGUCUCGGCCUGCCCAGUGCUGAGGGUACCUCUGGUUCUUUCUUUUUCUGUGUAAGUUCUGGGGAUGUGAAUAAACUCAAGUCUUCAUGCUUGCCUGGCAAGCUCUUUACCAACUGAGCCAUCUGUUCGGGCCCAUGAAGAAUUUUCUUCAAUAUUUCCUGUAGUUGAGAUCUGCUAGCCAUGGAUCAUGUCUGUGCGGCUGCCUGGUGCCUCUGUGUGUCAUUUCCUCUUUUUAUAAGGACACCAGGGAUAUUGGGAAAGGGUCAAUCCUAAUACAGCUUGCUUUAGCUGACCUAGUUCUGUAACAGUUCUUGUCUUUAGAUAUAGUCGUGCUCUGAGAUUCAACAGUUCAGCAUGUGAAUUCUGGAGGGAGGGAGGGAGGGAGGGAGAGAGAGAGAGAGAGAGAGAGGGAGAGAGAGAGAGAGAGAGAGAGAGAGAGAGAGAGAGAGAGAUGACAAAAUGCCCAACACUGGGUAAUUUAUAAAGAAAAUAACUUUAUUUCUCACAAUUCUGACGACUGAGGAGCCAAAUAUCAAAAUAUGAGAAGAAUCUCCUCAGAAGCCUCCUUGUUUAUUGGUCUGAGUUCACUGACUCCUUUAUGACAUUAUGAGGCAGAACUGUUCCAUUCAAGCCACUGCUCCAAAGACCUGGUGUCUCAGUGCUGUCUCCUUUGGGUUUAUGUUCGGUGAUGGCAGGAGGACACAAUUCAGUCAGUUCAUAUCGAUCAGGGAACUUUAAGUAUACAGGUAAGGGGACAGCCCCCGGCAUGGUGAUUUUCACAGUAAGAGUAUUAAGUUAUUUUUAUGAAGGUAAUCUGUGGUUGGGUAGAUCAGGGUUAUUGUUAGUGGCUCAAACAGUGCUGGUUGUCUGACUUCUUUCUCUUCCCACCAUAGCAUGUGUGCUACCUUUCAUUUGCUUAUUUGCAAAUGGGUAGUUAGGCGAAUGAAAGGGAGCAUGGGCAGGCAGUGGUAUCUUUGGCAGUGCCUCAUCUGGAGGCAGAAAGUGGGGAAGUGUGCACUCGGGCACAGGGCACGAUAGAGGUAGCAAUGACCAAUGUUCUCCUGGAGAGUCCUUCUCUUCUUUGGAAGGUAAGUAAUUCCCAAAGUUUCCAUGCCUUCCUGGCUAGAACCAGUCACAACUUCAAAGGAAACUGUGAAGAUGGAGUCACACUCUACUCUCCAAUGGGUCACUAGGAUGAAGCAGGAGGGCCAGAUACUUAGGCAGACAAAUAGCGUCUGGAUUGGUCCCCAACCUGCCCACCUGCCCAGAAGGCUGCUGAAUUAAGACUGGUCUUGACCGUAAUUUUUAUUGGAAUUAAAACUCUACUGAUGAUGGUUACUGGGAGGGUAUU
RNAcentral lists this long non-coding RNA (3783 nucleotides) under Mus musculus (house mouse). Its description in RNAcentral is "long non-coding RNA chr18:49987870-49991653". Lineage: Eukaryota; Metazoa; Chordata; Mammalia; Rodentia; Muridae. The record is from RNAcentral.